UUUUCUCUUCCUCUCCUCCUCACUAUCGAUUCUCUCGUCCUUUUACUUAAUCAGAGAUAUCUAAUCGGAGGCGUCAAACUCGGAUUCCUCCUGGAGCGACGAGGCCAGUUACUUCUGCCGUUUCUCUUCUUCCGCAGCCUCUUUCUGUAUCUUUGCAAUCUUCUUCUCAAAGGUCAAAUAAAAAUAAUCUCUGUGAAUUAAGCAUAGCAGCACAAAACAGAGGAUGGGAGAGCUGAGGUUCUAAGUUCUAACUGAUCCCUGAAACCUAUAUGAGGCAAACUAUGUGGGUAAUGAGGGAUCAGACCUUUACGAUCAGCUUGUUAAAGCCAUACAGGAAAAAUGGUUGGCCGUGACCGUUUGAUUUUCGGAAUAGCUCUGCAUUUGUGUCAUUAUGAUUGUAGAGAUAAUAACCGAGGAGCUUGUGGAUGUGUUCAAACACAAAGUAAUGCUAAAAAGCUACCGUAGGAGGGGCCAGACUUGUUUCUGAAGUCGUAAUUCUUGCAAGUAGAAGAGAGGAGACGCGGAAUUGAUUGAAAGCAACGACGCAGAAGAAAUAAGUCUUGAAGGUGAUCGAUCUGUGUUACAUAGACAACUCGAUGCCUACAGUCAAGCUUGCGAUGACCAACAGACACCAGGAGCAAAGAGACACGGUCAACCGGUUUGCUUUGGUUUUCUUGUUCGUUAGGUUUAGCCUUUUGGUUUGGUUAACCAGUUUAUUAUUUAUAAACCAUUUUAAUUUGUAAACCAUUUUGAAGCGUA
This is a long non-coding RNA of Brassica oleracea var. oleracea, 759 nucleotides long. RefSeq lists it as uncharacterized. The transcript is spliced from 5 exons. Lineage: Eukaryota; Viridiplantae; Streptophyta; Magnoliopsida; Brassicales; Brassicaceae. The record is from RefSeq and is a predicted model, not a curated record.